Molecule: ribosomal RNA, 927 nt
Filed under: uncultured archaeon
Lineage: Archaea
Description: bacterial SSU rRNA
Rfam family: Archaeal small subunit ribosomal RNA
Source: RNAcentral
UUUCCGGUUGAUCCCGCCGGAGGCCACUGCUAUGGGGGUCCGACUAAGCCAUGCGAGUCAUGGGGCGCGCUCUGCGCGCACCGGCGGACGGCUCAGUAACACGUCGGUAACCUACCCUCGGGAGGGGGAUAACCCCGGGAAACUGGGGCUAAUCCCCCAUAGGCCUGAGGUACUGGAAGGUCCCCAGGCCGAAAGGGGCUUCGCCCGCCCGAGGAUGGGCCGGCGGCCGAUUAGGUAGUUGGUGGGGUAACGGCCCACCAAGCCGAAGAUCGGUACGGGCCAUGAGAGUGGGAGCCCGGAGAUGGACACUGAGACACGGGUCCAGGCCCUACGGGGCGCAGCAGGCGCGAAACCUCCGCAAUGCGGGCAACCGCGACGGGGGGACCCCCAGUGCCGUGGCACAGCCACGGCUUUUCCGGAGUGUAAAAAGCUCCGGGAAUAAGGGCUGGGCAAGGCCGGUGGCAGCCGCCGCGGUAAUACCGGCGGCCCGAGUGGUGGCCGCUAUUAUUGGGCCUAAAGCGUCCGUAGCCGGGCCUGUAAGUCCCUGGCGAAAUCCCACGGCUCAACCGUGGGGCUUGCUGGGGAUACUGCAGGCCUUGGGACCGGGAGAGGCCGGGGGUACUCCUGGGGUAGGGGUGAAAUCCUAUAAUCCCAGGAGGACCGCCAGUGGCGAAGGCGCCCGGCUGGAACGGGUCCGACGGUGAGGGACGAAGGCCAGGGGAGCGAACCGGAUUAGAUACCCGGGUAGUCCUGGCUGUAAAGGAUGCGGGCUAGGUGUCGGGCGAGCUUCGAGCUCGCCCGGUGCCGAAGGGAAGCCGUUAAGCCCGCCGCCUGGGGAGUACGGCCGCAAGGCUGAAACUUAAAGGAAUUGGCGGGGGAGCACUACAAGGGGUGGAGCGUGCGGUUUAAUUGGAUUCAACGCCGGGA